CCUGCGACUGAUUGGUGCUGCUCCUUUUCCUUUCCUCCCCGGCGUCAGGGCCUUCGGGUGUUGGAGCGAGCGGAGGGUCCGGGAGAAGCGAGCCAGCAAGCGAGGAGGCAGCAUCAUGUCGGGACGCGACGGUGGCAAGAAGAAACCUUUGAAACAGCCCAAGAAGCAAGCAAAGGAAAUGGAUGAGGAAGACAAAGCGUUCAAGCAAAAACAGAAGGAAGAGCAGAAGAAACUUGAAGAGUUGAAGGCAAAAGCAGCUGGCAAGGGCCCACUUACUGGAGGUGGAAUUAAGAAAUCUGGUAAAAAGUAGCAGAUGUGAUGCGACUACAUGGCAAGAAAAGCAUUCACUCUCGCUGGAUGCUUGGCACUAGGAUGGAUUUCCAGGCUGAUGUUGUGGGAAACGUGAAUUUGAGCACCUUUGUACAUUUCGUUCAAACAAAAUAAAUGGCGCUUUUUUUUUUGUUAACGUC
Molecule: long non-coding RNA, 470 nt
Organism: Podarcis muralis (Common wall lizard)
Lineage: Eukaryota; Metazoa; Chordata; Lepidosauria; Squamata; Lacertidae
Source: RefSeq, a predicted model, not a curated record